This 253-nucleotide ribosomal RNA is filed under the name uncultured bacterium. RNAcentral's name for it is "partial 16S ribosomal RNA". It matches the Rfam family "Bacterial small subunit ribosomal RNA", at positions 524 to 776 of the family's 1533-position model. The record is from RNAcentral.
UACGUAGGGUGCGAGCGUUAAUCGGAAUUACUGGGCGCAAAGCGUGCGCAGGCGGCUUUGCAAGACAGAUGUGAAAUCCCCGGGCUUAACCUGGGAACUGCAUUUGUGACUGCAUGGCUGGAGUGCGGCAGAGGGGGAUGGAAUUCCGCGUGUAGCAGUGAAAUGCGUAGAUAUGCGGAGGAACACCGAUGGCGAAGGCAAUCCCCUGGGCCUGCACUGACGCUCAUGCACGAAAGCGUGGGGAGCAAACAGG